UUUACUAACUCCUGAGGUAAAUAUCUGGCUCUGGUAAAUGUUUCACUAUGUUCACCAGCUAGCUGUCUGCUGUUUGGUGCUGGGCAGGUAGCUACAGUUGGUUUAUCAGAACGGAAAAAAGAAUCCGGCCGAUCAAACCAACUACACCUGAAGCAGCUGCAACCGCAGCCGGAGGCUCCUUGAGUAAAAUCAGCUGAUCGCUGCUGCGCCACAAAAGUGUUUAAUUGAUGUAACGCAGCAAUCGAUCAGUUUCUAGUGAUGUGAAUAGCAAAUAAACAUGUGCAGAGAAGUGUUAAAUGAUACCAGGAGAUGAAGCCAACGGAAAGCCAAGCUUGUGGUGAUAAACUUGCAACAGUGACUGACAUGCCUGAGACCGCAGCUAAAGAUUAUUGGCUGCACUGAGAAAACCCGGACCAUUUUAUAGGUUGAAAAUAUUGGCAGGGGAAGGCAUCCUUGUGAGAAGCUCAACUACUGGACACAAGACAUAUCCUGUACUUCCCUGAAAAGUCCGUUCUCAGUGUAAGUGCAUUGGAGGCAUCAAGUUUCCAUACAACACUUGUGCCUGCACCCCUCAAUGGCAGUAACGUUUGAGGCUUUCAUCAAUGUCAGCAUCGCAGCAGAAGGAGACCAAACACAAACACAUUCACCUCAGGCAGGGACUCCCCACUCAGCUAUCACCGCCACGACCAGUGACCCUCAACAAGCUCCUCUAAGUCUCUGGAGCUGCCCCCUUCUGCAGCUCUGUCACUCUUUCCUGCAGCCAGCAUGAGUAGCAUCAAACAGCGCAGCUACGGAAAGCUUAUCAUGUCGUCGGCUUAUCUCCCAUUUUCACCUCCCCAAAGGAAUAAACACACAGACGACUGCAAGAUGGGGAAUGUACAACAACAAAGAGUCGACUCUUCAGGUUCAAUGGCCACUAGUGCACUCUCUCUGUUUUCAUUACCACAUACUGUCCUAGAAGCCAGGUAAACCCGCUGAUGAAGCUAUGGAUUAUCCUGCAUCGGAUGUGAGGUGUCGUCUGAGGCAUGAAGGACACCGGUCAUGUCAGCCAAGGCAAAGACAUAUUACAACGGAGAGCAGACCUCAAGGACUCAAGUAGA
Micropterus dolomieu (smallmouth bass) is the source of this 1100-nucleotide long non-coding RNA. RefSeq lists it as uncharacterized. NCBI's taxonomy places the organism in Eukaryota, Metazoa, Chordata, Actinopteri, Centrarchiformes, Centrarchidae. The transcript has 5 exons. The record is from RefSeq and is a predicted model, not a curated record.